CCUACGGGUGGCAGCAGUGGGGAAUAUUGCACAAUGGGGGAAACACUGAUGCAGCGACGCCGCGUGAGUGAAGAAGUUAUUCGUUAUGUAAAGCUUUAUCUGCAGGGAAGAAAAUGACGGUACCUGAGCACGAAGCCCCGGCUAACUACGUGCCAGCAGCCGCUGCAACACGUAGGGGGCAAGCGUUAUCCGGAUUAACUGGGUGUAAAGGGAGCGUAGGCGGCUGUGCAAGUCUGGAGUGAAAGGCGGGGGCUCAACCCGCGGACUGCGCUGGAAACUGUACGGCUGGAGUGCAGGAGAGGUAAGUGGAAUGCCUGGUGUAGCGGGGAAAUGCGUAGAUAUUAGGAGGAACACCAGUUGCGAAGGCAGCUUACUGGACUGUAACUGACGUUGAGGCUCGAAAGCGUGGGUAGCAAACAGGAUUAGAUACCCUGGUAGUC
This 440-nucleotide ribosomal RNA is filed under the name uncultured bacterium. RNAcentral's name for it is "partial 16S ribosomal RNA". It matches the Rfam family "Bacterial small subunit ribosomal RNA", at positions 338 to 795 of the family's 1533-position model. The record is from RNAcentral.